UACGUAGGGGGCAAGCGUUGUCCGGAUUUAUUGGGCGUAAAGAGCGUGUAGGCGGUUAGGUAGGUCCGUUGUGAAAACUCGAGGCUCAACCUCGAGACGCCGAUGGAAACCAUCUAACUAGAGUCCGGAAGAGGAGAGUGGAAUUCCUGGUGUAGCGGUGAAAUGGCGCAGAUAUCAGGAAGAACACCCGUGGCUAAGGCGGCUCUCUAGUACGGUACUGACGCUGAGACGCGAAAGCGUGGGGAGCGAACAGG
Molecule: ribosomal RNA, 254 nt
Filed under: uncultured bacterium
Lineage: Bacteria
Description: partial 16S ribosomal RNA
Rfam family: Bacterial small subunit ribosomal RNA
Source: RNAcentral